Molecule: ribosomal RNA, 497 nt
Filed under: uncultured bacterium
Lineage: Bacteria
Description: partial 16S ribosomal RNA
Rfam family: Bacterial small subunit ribosomal RNA
Source: RNAcentral
GAUGAACGCUGGCGGCGUGCCUAAUACAUGCAAGUCGAGCGAACAGAUGUGGAUCUUGCUCCGCUGACGUUAGCGGCGGACGGGUGAGUAACACGGGGAGAACCUACCUAUAAGACUGGGAUAACUUCUAGAAACCGGAGCGAAUACCGGAUAAUAUAUUGCACCGCAUGGUGCAAUAGUGAAAGACGGUUUUGCUGUCGCUGAUAGAUGGAUCCGCGCCGCAUUAGCUAGUUGGUACGGUAACGGCUUACCAAGGCAACGAUGCGUAGCCGACCUGAGAGGGGGAUAGGCCCCACUGGAACUGAGACACGGUCCAGACUCCUACGGGAGGAAGGAGUAGGGUAUCAUCCGCAAUGGGAGAAAGCUUGACGGAGCAACGCCGCGUGAGUGAUGAAGGCAUUCGGAUCGUAAAACUGUGUUAUUAGGGAACAACAACUGUGUAAGCAACUAAGCAAGUAUUGACGGUACCUAAUCAGAAAGCAACGGCUAACUACGUG